CCUACGGGUGGCUGCAGUGAGGAAUAUUGCGCAAUGGAGGCAACUCUGACGCAGCCAUGCCGCGUGCAGGAAGAAGGCGCUACGCGUUGUAAACUGCUUUUAACCGGGAAGAAACCCCAGGACGUGUCCUGGGUUGACGGUACCGGAGGAAUAAGCACCGGCUAACUUCGUGCCAGCAGCCGCGGUAAUACGAAGGGUGCAAGCGUUAUUGGGAUUCAUGGGGGCGAAGGGGUGCGUAUGAGUGAGGGGUGAAAGCCUACAGCUCAACUGUAGAAUUGCGAUUGAUACUGGCGCUCUUGAGUGCGCUUGAAGUAGGCGGAAUGUGCCGUGUAGCGGUGAAAUGCUUAGAUAUGGCACAGAACACCAAUUGCGAAGGCAGCUUACUAAGGCGAUACUGACACUGAGGCACGAAAGCGUGGGGAUCGAACAGGAUUAGAUACCCUUGUAGUC
RNAcentral lists this ribosomal RNA (450 nucleotides) under uncultured bacterium. Its description in RNAcentral is "partial 16S ribosomal RNA". It matches the Rfam family "Bacterial small subunit ribosomal RNA", at positions 338 to 795 of the family's 1533-position model. The record is from RNAcentral.